UCCAGACUCCUACGGGAGGCAGCAGUGGGGGAUAUUGCACAAUGGGGGGAACCCUGAUGCAGCGACGCCGCGUGGGUGAAGGAGCGUUUCGGCGCGUAAAGCCCUAUCGGCAGGGAAGAAGGAGGACGGUACCUGACUAAGAAGCCCCGGCUAACUACGUGCCAGCAGCCGCGGUAAUACGUAGGGGGCAAGCGUUAUCCGGAUUUACUGGGUGUAAAGGGGGCGCAGACGGCAGCGCAAGCCAGGAGUGAAAGCCCGGGGCCCAACCCCGGGACUGCUCUUGGAACUGCGCGGCUGGAGUGCAGGAGGGGCAGGCGGAAUUCCUGGUGUAGCGGUGAAAUGCGUAGAUAUCAGGAGGAACACCGGUGGCGAAGGCGGCCUGCUGGACUGCGACUGACGUUGAGGCCCGAAAGCGUGGGGAGCAAACAGGAUUAGAUCCCCUAGUA
RNAcentral lists this ribosomal RNA (446 nucleotides) under uncultured bacterium. RNAcentral's name for it is "partial 16S ribosomal RNA". It matches the Rfam family "Bacterial small subunit ribosomal RNA", at positions 330 to 792 of the family's 1533-position model. The record is from RNAcentral.